This 483-nucleotide ribosomal RNA is filed under the name uncultured bacterium. RNAcentral's name for it is "partial 16S ribosomal RNA". It matches the Rfam family "Bacterial small subunit ribosomal RNA", at positions 30 to 507 of the family's 1533-position model. The record is from RNAcentral.
AUUGAACGCUGGCGGCAGGCCUAACACAUGCAAGUCGAGCGGAUGAAGGGAGCUUGCUCCUGGAUUCAGCGGCGGACGGGUGAGUAAUGCCUAGGAAUCUGCCUGGUAGUGGGGGUUACGGUCGGGAACGGGGGCCUAAUCCGGCAUCGGCCCUGGGGGGGAAGGGGGGGGUUCUUGGGCCUCACGCCAUUAGGUGAGGCCAGGUCGGAUUAGCUAGUUGGGGGGGUAAAGGCCUACCAAGGCGACGAUCCGUAACUGGUCUGAGAGGAUGAUCAGUCACACUGGAACUGAGACACGGUCCAGACUCCUACGGGAGGCAGCAGUGGGGAAUAUUGGACAAUGGGCGAAAGCCUGAUCCAGCCAUGCCGCGUGUGUGAAGAAGGUCUUCGGAUUGUAAAGCACUUUAAGUUGGGAGGAAGGGCAGUAAGUUAAUACCUUGCUGUUUUGACGUUACCAACAGAAUAAGCACCGGCUAACUUCGUG